GUCGAGAAUCUUCCGCAAUGCGCGAAAGCGUGACGGAGCGACACCGCGUGAUGGAUGAAGUCCUUCGGGGCGUAAACAUCUUUUAUAAAGGAGGAAAUUUUUGACGUUACUUUAUGAAUAAGGGGCUCCCAAUCUCGUGCCAGCAGGAGCGGUAAUACGAGAGCCUCAAGCGUUAUCCGGAAUCAUUGGGCGUAAAGGGUGCGUAGGUGGUUUGAUUAGUCUCCCGUUAAAACUUCGAGCUUAACUCGAAAAGAGCGGGGGAAACGGUCAAACUAGAGUAUGUGAGAGGUGUGUGGAACUCAUGGUGUAGGGGUGAAAUCCGUUGAUAUCAUGGGGAACACCAAAAGCGAAGGCAGCACACUGGCACAUCACUGACACUGAGGCACGAAACCUAAGGUAGCGAAUGGGAUUAGAUACCCGGGUAGUCC
RNAcentral lists this ribosomal RNA (428 nucleotides) under uncultured bacterium. RNAcentral describes it as "bacterial SSU rRNA". It matches the Rfam family "Bacterial small subunit ribosomal RNA", at positions 354 to 796 of the family's 1533-position model. The record is from RNAcentral.